This 253-nucleotide ribosomal RNA is filed under the name uncultured bacterium. Its description in RNAcentral is "partial 16S ribosomal RNA". It matches the Rfam family "Bacterial small subunit ribosomal RNA", at positions 524 to 776 of the family's 1533-position model. The record is from RNAcentral.
UACAGAGGUCUCAAGCGUUGUUCGGAUUUAUUGGGCGUAAAGGGUGCGUAGGUGGCGAUGCAAGUCUGGUGUGAAAUCUCGGGGCUCAACCCCGAAAUUGCACCGGAUACUGCGUUGCUCGAGGACUGUAGAGGAGAGUGGAAUUCACGGUGUAGCAGUGAAAUGCGUAGAUAUCGUGAGGAAGACCAGUGGCGAAGGCGGCUCUCUGGGCAGUUCCUGACACUGAGGCACGAAAGCGAGGGGAGCAAACAGG